AACGAACGCUGGCGGCAGGCCUAAAACAUGCAAGUCGAACGCCCCGCAAGGGGAGUGGCGCACGGGUGAGUAACGCGUGGGAACGUGCCCUUCACUACGGGACAACGUCGGGAAACUGACGCUAAUACCGUAUAAUGACUCCGGUCCAAAGAUUUAUCGGUGAAGGAGCGGCCCGCGUCUGAUUAGCUAGUUGGUGAGGUAACGGCUCACCAAGGCUACGAUCAGUAGCAGGUCUGAGAGGAUGAUCUGCCACACUGGGACUGAGACACGGCCCAGACUCCUACGGGAGGCAGCAGUUAGGAAUAUUGGACAAUGGGCGAAAGCCUGAUCCAGCCAUGCCGCGUGUGUGAUGAAGGCCCUAGGGUUGUAAAGCUCUUUCGUUGAGGAAGAUAAUGACUGUACUCAAAGAAGAAGCACCGGCUAACUUCGUGCCAGCCGCCGCAGUAA
Molecule: ribosomal RNA, 447 nt
Filed under: uncultured bacterium
Lineage: Bacteria
Description: partial 16S ribosomal RNA
Rfam family: Bacterial small subunit ribosomal RNA
Source: RNAcentral